GACGUAGGGCGCAAGCGUUGUCCGGAUUUAUUGGGCGUAAAGAGCUCGUAGGCGGCUUGUCGCGUCGACUGUGAAAACCCGCGGCUUAACUGUGGGACUGCAGUCGAUACGGGCUAGCUAGAGUUCGGUAGGGGAGACUGGAAUUCCUGGUGUAGCGGUGAAAUGCGCAGAUAUCAGGAGGAACACCUAUGGCGAAGGCAGCUCUCUGGGACGGUACUGACGCUGAGACGCGAAAGCGUGGGGAGCGAACAGG
This 253-nucleotide ribosomal RNA is filed under the name uncultured bacterium. RNAcentral's name for it is "partial 16S ribosomal RNA". It matches the Rfam family "Bacterial small subunit ribosomal RNA", at positions 524 to 776 of the family's 1533-position model. The record is from RNAcentral.